GUUUGUUUCAUUGGACUUCUCUUUCCUAUCCAUAAGAAUUUCUCCCCAUCUCUUUUCACAAAACCAUUCAUAUGAACUCCAUAUACCUUAAUUCCAAAAUAAGGAGCGGCAGCACGUUCAAGAGAAAAAUAGGGGGGCGAUCCGAACGAAGGUGUGACAGGGUACAACUGAUUGAAAAUCAACGAGUAAACAGCCAAUACAGCAAGAAA
Molecule: long non-coding RNA, 209 nt
Organism: Populus euphratica (Euphrates poplar)
Lineage: Eukaryota; Viridiplantae; Streptophyta; Magnoliopsida; Malpighiales; Salicaceae
Exons: 2
Source: RefSeq, a predicted model, not a curated record